GCCUUCAUGGUGUAAUGGUCAGCACACUGAGCCGGUAUUUCAGAGGUCCGCGGUUCGAUUCUCGGCGAAGGCG
RNAcentral lists this transfer RNA (73 nucleotides) under Stegodyphus mimosarum. It matches the Rfam family "tRNA". From Rfam's summary of the family: Transfer RNA (tRNA) molecules are approximately 80 nucleotides in length. Their secondary structure includes four short double-helical elements and three loops (D, anti-codon, and T loops). The record is from Rfam by way of RNAcentral. Lineage: Eukaryota; Metazoa; Arthropoda; Arachnida; Araneae; Eresidae.